RNAcentral lists this long non-coding RNA (876 nucleotides) under Eutrema salsugineum. RNAcentral's name for it is "long non-coding RNA (ESAL_LNC001513)". Lineage: Eukaryota; Viridiplantae; Streptophyta; Magnoliopsida; Brassicales; Brassicaceae. The record is from RNAcentral.
AUUUUUAUAAUUAAAAAUGCAGCUAACAAAAAAAAAACUAUAUUCUCAAACCUUUUUUCUCUUAUUUUUUUUUAUCGUCAAUUUUGCAUUUAUAACAAAUCCCAUAAACAAAUUGGUUACAACAAUUAUCGAGACCCAAAACUUACAAAGAAAGCCCAUUUAUAAUCCAAAUCAAAGAAGAUAAGAAUUAAUAAUUUUGAGACACAUGUUAAACACGUGGAAGUUUUGAGUUGAAUGUCGGGAAAUGGGAUGAAGAUGCCAUUGAUACAUCACUGGUCAGAGCUCCGCCGUAGAACCGAAACCCGAAGAGUUUAAACCAUGAUAAACUCCAAUCGAGACUGCACCCACCUCUAAUAUGUUGCUCCUUCGUUUACUAUCUCCUCCUUUAAGAUCUGUUGAGAAUUUAAUGAAAACUAGCUUUUUCUUCUUAAGCCAUGACCUCCGAUCAUCUGCAACUCAGGACUAAUCCCUUUACCUUGUAGGCUCACAGCUCCUUUCAUCAGAUCUGAAGCGCCAUCUCAUCUUUAGGAGAACCAAAUAUCAGAGAAGAUACGACAAACAAGUCCAAACACGUCAGAACUUAAAAUCGGUUUACGUCAAAAUUUAUUAUCCGAUUAAUAGAAAUGAAAAAUUCGUAUAAACGCUGGAAAGUUAAAAACAAAAUAAUAUUAUACAAAUCCGGCUGGAUUUGUCGGAAUUUAUUCUCCAAAAAGUAUAUAUAACAUGGUACUGAUACUGGAUUAACGCCGGCACCGGCCAAAAAAAAUUAAAAACACUGAAAAACAAUUUAAGAAAAAGAUUAGGGAGAAAUUUUUCUUUCUAUAGUUAAAGAGAAAGAGAGUUAGAUUAGAGAAAGCUUUCACUUUCUAGUAUGAG